Molecule: long non-coding RNA, 1394 nt
Organism: Bos taurus (domestic cattle)
Lineage: Eukaryota; Metazoa; Chordata; Mammalia; Artiodactyla; Bovidae
Source: Ensembl
CUAGCGAGGCUUGCGAGGCUCCCAGCACCAUCUGUGCAGUGAGCAGUGCCUGGAGGAAAGAGUGGGACAGAGAUCUGGUGACUCACUGGACCCGGUUCCUUACCCCUAGAGCCACCUGGGAAGCAAGCACAUUGAACAGAAGUAACCGCCUCCCACCAAAUUCCAGUGGAAAGCAAUUCUCCUUCACACACUCAACCACUCAGUUUUCCUGAGACACAACUGCUGUUAUAAGAUUUUCAGUUACCUGGAUACGAGGCAAAGGGGACCAAGAAGAACAGACAUAGUUCCGAGUGUGCUGAUCCAAGAAAAGGCAUAUUUCCCACUAAGUCAAGAGGCACAUGGGUUUCUGGGUCUAACUUUAUUAAUCUGGAGAGCAGUGUUGUUCCUGAGCACCUGGCCAACUAUAGAUAAAAUGGAAACAAACUGUGAUGCCACCAGAACAAGACUGACUGGAGGAAUAAAGAGAAAGGAAGGCUGGCUCACGCUGCAGCCUAGGCUGGAAGAUGCCAGAAAGACUGCUGUGCUGCUGGACCCAGAGCUCUCCUCCUCCUUCCUCAGCGGUCUCAGAAACACGCAGGCUGCAGGGUCCCGCUGUGCGCAGUCUCCUCCUCCAGAUCUAGGGAGCCCUGGAUGCCAGCAGCACAACCUCGUCGAGGGACUAUGAGGAUAAAACUGGGUACCACAUGUUUAAAGAGCUCAGCACGGAGCCUGUCAUGGCGAGCACCUGUUCACGCUCCCAGCCAGGACUUCUGCCUCUGCCUUGCCAUUCACUCCUUAGCUCUGUCCACUCCACAUCCUGUUCUCUGGACCCUUGUCCUCCCUGGGUUCCUGGGAGGACUCGUGCAAGGCGAUGGGUGUGGAGUGCAAGGGCAGCGGCAAUCAGAGGGGCAGAUGGGAUGACUUGGGUCAGGAAGUCCCUGCAGUGGCCUCCAAAGGCCUCUCUGCUGAUCCCGGCCUGACUCACCCACAAAGUCCUCUCUCUUGAGGGCUCUCUCACCUUCCCAGGCCUCUACCUUCUCUUCUGUCCUGAGGAAGAAUUCUAAGACUCUCAAGAAGACAAGAGAUUUCAGAGGUCAUCUUAUCCAACAUCCUCCAGGGCGGGCUUGGAUUUCCUGGCGGCUCCUUGUACACACAGGAUGGAGCGCUUGCUACCUCUGGAGGCCCCUGUUUUGUUUGGGAGACAGUGCUGGGAAUGUGAGGGUGUUGAAUUGUAACUUCUGCCUCUGGUUCUACCUGUGGGCUCUCCCGGGAGCCUCUUCGGGUCCCUGCAGAGAGAUACACUGGCCCCUGUUACCACCCUCUCCCCUUCGUGGGCCCUACAGCCUCCCUCCCUCUGGCCUUCGGUCCUCAUCUUGUAGUUCCCAGUCCGGGUUCCUGGGGGAACCACAGUGGAG